This 3456-nucleotide long non-coding RNA is filed under the name Vigna radiata. RNAcentral describes it as "long non-coding RNA (VRAD_LNC015434)". Lineage: Eukaryota; Viridiplantae; Streptophyta; Magnoliopsida; Fabales; Fabaceae. The record is from RNAcentral.
CAGUGUUGUUUCCUAUAGGAAUUCCUGUCUUGUUCUUGCCUUUGUGGCGGUAUAUCGUGCUCUAUAGUAGUAGAGGAAUGUAGAUUCAAGGGUAACUUGAUUUGUAAACCUUCUUUAGAAUUGGUUUAAGCCUUUGAGACAAAUUCUUGCCUCGAAGAUAAGGAGUUUGAAGACCAGAGUUUAGGCUUCAAGGGACGUGUAGAGAUAUUGGAAUUUAUAAGCAAUGUUUUGGACGAAGGAGUUUUCAAGGAAAAAGUUCGGAGAUCAGAUAUCGUACGAUUCAUAAGAAGAGUUGAGUUCAAAGACCAGAAUAAGAGGAGCCUUGGAUGGGCAUUGGUGUGGCAAUGUUUGGUUCUAUGUAUCAGUAACGUCAGAGGUCAGAAGAAAAGGAAGUGUUGGUGAGCAACAGAGUGGCUUUGGGUGAGAUGGGUAACAUGGAUCGGUGUAUCAACGAUGGUUGAAAUCUGAAUAAGAGAAAUGAUGGAUGGUUUGAAGCUUAAGUUAAGAGAGGAAUAAGAAUUUUGAAGUGGAUAUUGUAUAGCCAAGUUUAGAAGGAUGUUUCAAGAUUAGCGAGUUGCAUAGAAGGAAUGUUUGAUCUCGGGUUGAGGUGAAAGACUUCAAUCACCGAAGGAAGGGCACAUCGGAAAGGUUUGGUUAUUGGCUAAGAGGAAAGAUUUCCAGUAUUGAAGGAAGGGGCAUAUCAGGAUGUCAGUUUCGUAAGAAAAUGUGAGGAAUAGAGAAUUAAGAGCACGGUGGAUGAGGAACAAAGAAGAAAGGCCUUAGAACAAAUGACAAAGGAUGGUUACAGUAUGAGUUGUUGGAGAGGGUAGCGGGGAAUGAUCAGAUAAUCCAGGUUGAUUGAGACUAUCAGAGUUUCGAAGCGGCAUGUUGUGUUACAAUCAGUUUUUCUUCGGGUGUGAUUUUGUGGUGAUGUUUAGGGAUCGGCUGAGUUUGAUCGAGAGAGAAAUGGAUAUUGGAAGUUGAGUUACAAAAGGCAGUAAGCGGGUAAGUUCAGAUAAGGUCAGAGGAUUUGUGUUGCUGGUUAAGGGUAUCUUGAGGUUCAGGGGAUCAAAGAUAGAGUUUGUAUUUCUAAAGAUUCUGAGUUGAAGAGGGCAAUUCUUGAAGAAGAAGAUUUUGAGUUAAUUUGGCCGAAUGAGUGCAUCAAGUACAGUUGAGCGAAGGAUAGAAGCAAGUGUUAUGGGAAUUCAAGAUGUCUGAUGGACGCAAGUGAAGAAGAUAUGAUGUUGUCUUUCUUAAGUCUGAGGUGUGAUUACAAGAGAUGUUUGACUGUUUUAAAUCGUUUCGGAUAGUUAUGGCCUUCAAAAGAAGUAUUGUGUUUUGAGAAGGGGAAGCAUGGUAUUGCAUUAGAAGUGGGUCAAGCUAUAAAGGAGAAGACAAAGGGUUGUAGGAGUCAGAAUAUGUUAGCAAGGAUAUGUGGAGAAGAGAAGAUAAAUCUUUAUGGUGUAAUAGUUUUGGUUGGUGUUCUGCAACAAGUAUGAGAUUUUUAUAACUUGGAGAAGUGGUGUUCACUAUGGAAUGAAUCUAUUUAGGGGUGGUUUCUUUUGCAGUUGUGUAAUGCAAGAGGAAGAUGGAAAUUGAGUUAGAGCAAUGGUAUUUGGACUCAGUGUAGUCAUAGGGAGAACUAUAAGGUUUAAGAAUCUUAGAAGAGAAUUAGAGGACAGGUUGGAACAGUCUAGUAUAAGUCUUGGCAAUCAGAAGUGAUUUCGAGCAUGGUGGUUUUGUGGAGUAGAAAAGCAGUGUUGAGGAAAAUGGAAUGACAAGGUUAUCAUGGAAGAAAAGAGUUAUCAGGGUUUUGCAAAGUCAUGGAAGUUUUGAAGAAGAUUCUUCAAGGGUGAUUAUCUUCGGGUUGCAAAUUGUCAUGAAGGAAGUGUUCUUUCAGUAAACUAGUGAACAAGGGAGUUUGAGGAUCAGAGUAGCACAACGGGUGUUAGUGGGCUUGUUCUUAUCAGUACCAAGUGUAUAUGAAGCGAUUUCAAGUUCAGGUAUGGGUGGUUAUGUGAGAUGAGCUUCUUUAAAACAACCGGGACGUCGUUAUUUGGGGCAUCAGUUGGGAGUGUUUGGUGGUCUUCGAGAGUCAGAAGUAAGUUUAGGUAUGGUGGAGAUAAGUAUGAAGCAAAGAAGACAAGUGAGACUUCAGUUUCAAGAUGUAGUGUCGACCAGGAAGUGGGAGUAUAAAUGGACGUUGAGCAUGGGAAGUGGGUCAGUGGAUGAAGGAAAUGAACCGGGAUAAGUUUCAAGUUGUAAGGUCAAUUUUGAGGUAAGCAAGCGUUAGUUGUGCGUGGGAACUGAAAGACGAUUCAAGUUGUUCGCUUAGUAAUAAUUGAUUAAGAGUCGGUUGAAGAGUUUGAAGACUAGAGUCUGAAGUGAAGAGGUAAAGAGAUUUUACCAAUAUAGUUGAAAUACUAUAACUAGUGGGUUUCUCAAAAUGGUUUAGACAACGCAGUUUGGACAGUCCUAGCUUGAAAGGUAUCAUAAGUUGGCAUGGUACGAAUUAGGCUAGUGAUCUUAAGUUGAGGAAGAUACAUGACUAAGUAUGAUUACAAGCUAGUAGAUUAAGAAUUACAUAUGGUUCAGGUCAGUUAGAUAACGAAGUGAAGAUAGAGUACUCAAAUUGGUUUUGUUGCUGUAGUGGAGUAAAGAUUUAUUUUGGUAAUAGGGUAGUAUCGUUGGAAACCAUGCUACUUAAGAGUGGAAAUCUAUAAAGUAAUGUAAAGUCUUUGGAAUGGAUGUGGUUACAGGUGAUCAAGAGCAUAACAGUUAGUAGUUAAAACAGAAGUGGUGGCGAUCAAGUCAGGGGUGUGAUGGUUCUUAGAAGAAACAAGAGGAGGUAAAAGGGUAUCAGUCAAGGGUUGAUCUAAAGUCAAGACUAGUGAAAGUUCUAGAAGAGAUUUACAAGGAGGAGCGGAAGAUAGAUGAGGGGUUAGCGAUGUUGCAGACAUAAUAGGAUUGGUUAUGUGAAAGCAAGAUUCUUAAAAGUUGAGGUGUAGGAGUUCAAAGUUGUUUUGCGAAUCAUGGCUAAACAGAUCUACACUGUUUAACACUAGAGCAUUUUAGCGUAGAGGCAAGAUUUUUCAUGUUAGUAAAGUUGUUGGGGAGUUGUAUCUUUGUCAAAUAGGUAGUUGUAAUAAAGAAGGCGAUGAUAGUGGAGUGUUCCUUCUAUCUUAUAAGUGAAUUUUCGAGGACGAAAAUUUUUGUUGUUGGGAAGAAUAUAAGAACCCAAAAAUUUCCAUCUCUCUCUAAAGCUUUGUUUCUCAAACUUUCUCCACCAUCUCUCUAGAUUUGUCCUCCAUUGAUCCAUCUAUUCCACCAUCAGAGACCGCGUAGGUAAUCUCGAAGUUGUGGGCUUCAAAUCCGACCGGUCAAUUUCUUAUUCUGUCGCCGAUAAGUAGUCCUCCCUUUUCCAUGCAUCUCAAGGAUGUACUGCAUGCACAUGAU